UAAUAAUUAUAAAGAGAAUUAGAAGUGGUUUAUCACUUCACAAUCAUUAUCCUUGCUAGUUAUAUGUUAAAGCAAAGGUAAGUGAGAAAUGAAAAUGGGAAUAUGGUUGCACUUUCUCAUCAAGAGGUAUGUGACAUGAUAACUUAGCAAUAUAGUAUAGGCAUCUAUCUCAAUAUGGUGAACCAAAAAGUAUGUCACAUGCUGCUGCAACAAGCAACAUGGGAACAUGGGCUUUCCAGAUAUACAUGGAAUAUGGGUGAGUGUGUCUUUCAUUCAUAAUAAAAAGUUGAAAACUAUAUAGAUGGUAGAAAAGUAUCCAAUUCAGCUAAUGAAGAAACUUGCACAGUGUCAUAUUCAAUUACUCUACACUACAGUGGGUUGUGGCCUUUUUAUGCUUUGUAUGACUAUGAGAAACUUUAAGGAAAGACAAUGCAUCUUUGCCAUUAAUUAUAGCUUUUAACCUAAUGAUAAACACUUGAUCUAAUAAUUUGUUUGUAGUUGCUUGCAUAUUUAAUUUCUAGACCUAAACCUGAUAACCUUCUUUUAUUUAUUCUGUUCACAUUCUCAAUCAAAAGCAUUUCUUCUGAGCAUCAUAGAUCUUAUUUAUAUGUUACAUUGCAUGCAAUAUUACAACCCAAAAAUGUCAAAUUUAUGUUAAACCAUUAGCUACAUGGCUCAUAAAAGAGGCUCAACAUCACACCCUGGCUAUGUUGCCAAUUCUGUAUUAGCUAAAACUGUUACUGAAGUGCAAAGUAGUGGUUAAAUUUGGUUCCACCAAUAUGUUGAUCAUGAUAUGAAGCCUCCUUUAUACACUUGUGCAAGUUUUGUAUGAGACUCAACACCUGCAAAGAGUUCUAGUUCCUUUUAUCAUUCUUGAGAUUACGUAGAGCCAUAACAAGCUGCUGUCUUUCACCCUCUACCUCUGCGAACUUCAGACUAAUCUCCGAAUACCUCUCUUCCAUUUCUUUCAACUCGCAUUCCAUAGACUUGUUCCUUUCCUUUAGGGCUUCCACUUCAUUCAAUAAUUCUUUUGUAUGGUACUUACUGUCAUAAUUAUUCACCUCACUUGCCCAACAAGUUUUUAGCUCACUGUUAGAGUAAGGAGACAAAAAUUAAUAAAAGUGAAUUAACAAGGAACCAUUUUUUUUACUACAAUGAUGAUGGAUGAUAUGAAGGCUAAUGAUUAAGUUCAAGGUACACUAUGGAUUCACAUGCAAAGAAAUGAAUUUGAUUUUUUUACCUUCCAGUAGCUUGACAAAAUUUGUUCUCAGCUGACUUGCCUACUGUGCUUGAUGCAUCCAUUCCCUUUUUAUGUUACAAAUAUAACACCAGUCUGAGUUAUUCUAGAACAUCAACAUAUCUACUAAUGUGUAGGUCGCGCAGCCGAAAAUCGGGUAUAAAGCAAAGUUAAAGCUAAACUUCGAUCUGAUAUUUUCUUUUAGCACAAUUUUGAGUUUGAUAUCUUCACUCUUCUGCUUAUUGUGUUAAACUUGCCUAUAUAGUUGUGUCAUGAUUCAUAAACAGGAAAAAAUUCAACAUUCUCAUUCCUGAAAUUCCAUAAUUUAUUUUAUAUUAUGCUUAGUUUUUAUACAUAUGAUUUCAUAGUGUUUCUUUCAAGUUCCUUAUGAGAAGAUUCUACUCCUUCUCCUUGAUAAAAAGUGAAUUCUAUUUUGCAACCAUUUUUCAAAAAAAAAUUGAUAGAAACAGAUAAUGAUGUUUUUUAAAAUUUAUUUGUGGAUAUUUAGAGAAGACCAAAAUGUAGAUAUAUAUGCUUUAGAGAUGCAUUUUCUCCAUAUGUUUAAUUUUUUAUGUUAGUAUCAAGUAUGACAUAUUUACAUAUGUAUUUGGCAUGAGAAAUGGAAAGCAAAUGCAAUGUUGAAGCAGCCCAUGAUUUAGUCCCUAAGAAGAAGAAGUUGUGGCUUUCAACCUGUACUUAUAUGAAAAAAUCAAUAUUAAUUUUCUUAACUUCUGAUUUUAAAUAUGGUAGCUGAACAAUUACCUUGUGCAUUUCAGAUUUCAGCUUUUUAAUAUGUGCUUUAGUGGAAGGAGGUGCAGCACACUCGUCG
RNAcentral lists this long non-coding RNA (2066 nucleotides) under Lupinus angustifolius (narrow-leaved blue lupine). RNAcentral's name for it is "long non-coding RNA (LANG_LNC000737)". Lineage: Eukaryota; Viridiplantae; Streptophyta; Magnoliopsida; Fabales; Fabaceae. The record is from RNAcentral.